AGCACUGGGCUCCACAGGGUCUCCCAGAUGAGCAUCUUGAGGAAAACUUUUGCAGAAACCCAGAUGGAGAAUCCCAACCGUGGUGCUUCACCACUGACCCGUCCAAACGAUGGGACCUCUGCUCUAUACCCCGCUGCACAUCCGAGCCUCCCACCAUCGUACCAGAGAUGAACUGUGCCAGUGGUAACGGAGAAGCAUACCGAGGCACAAUUGCUGUGACUAAAUCUGGCAAAACGUGCCAAGACUGGUCGGCUCAGACGCCACAUGUCCCCACCCGCGGGCCAGAUAACUACCCCUGCAAG
Molecule: non-coding RNA, 302 nt
Organism: Plectropomus leopardus (leopard coralgrouper)
Lineage: Eukaryota; Metazoa; Chordata; Actinopteri; Perciformes; Serranidae
Source: RefSeq, a predicted model, not a curated record